AGAAAGUUAAAUAAUAUUUUAUUUUUGUAAUAAAAUGUUAUUAUUAAAAUUUUCAAUUAUUUUAAAAUUUUAUUUUAUUUACGGAUCAAAUCGGAUAUUCUUUAAAAUUCUAAAACAUUUCGGAUAUCCGAGUCACCAAAUAUCAAGGUGGCUAAAGAUCGAAUCGACACGAAUGCUUCCAAGUACUCAUAUAUUCGAUCUGGCCCCACCCCUAUUUACGGAUACAACUUUAUUUUCUUUAUAUGAAAAAUGACUAAUGUCAAAGCCUUUUUUAUUUCAAAUUAAUUUAAAUUUUAUCUUUCAUGUAUUAUUUUGAACAAAAAUGUCAUUUCAUAUUAAUUAACAAUAUCUUUAUAUAUAUUUGUCAACUAUUUUUAUAUACUUUUUACAUACUCAUACAACAACUGAAAUAUCUAUUUUUUUUUAAAGUUGAAAUAUUUUUUCUUAUUGCUUCUUUCACUACCGACCAAAUUGUAGUAAAAUGAUUUGUCUAUAAUAAUUUUCUUUUCUUUUUCUUUAAAUAUUAUAUGUUUGAAACUAUAAUAUUAACUAUUGGUUCGACAUGACAACUAUCUAAAAUUCAUAACAUGAAAAUAAACAAAUAAUAUUAAUUUUUGAUUUUUACCGGAAAAAAAACCAAAAAAUCAAACAUUUUAACCGAAUAAACUAAAAUGAAUACUCCCUCCGUUUCUGAAUAAGUGUCGUUGGAGAGAAAUUUUUUCGUUACAAAAUAAGUGUCAUUUUCGAUUUUCAGUUCAAAAUUUAUUAGUUUUAUUGAGUAAUUUAUUUUUCUAUUGGUUGAAAUAUGGUUAGAUAUAGUGGUAAUUGUGUUUUUAUAUAGGAAAUAUACAAAAUUAAUUGUUUCCUUAAUCCGUGUGCAUAGACCCAAAACGACACUUAGUAUGAAAAGGAGGGAGUAUAAAUUUAAAAUAAUAGUUAUAUUUUAGAAGAUUAAAAAUAAAAAAAAAACUUAAAACCGAACUAAUAUCCAGAUUAAACAGAUUUAGUGUCUAUUUAUUAAAAAUAACGAAACUAAUAAUCACAUCCCGUGCAAGGCGCGGGUUAUUACCUAGUUUAUAAUUAAAGCCAUUACAUUUGAGAAAAUACUUUUUUUUUAACUCAACAACUAUUUUUCAUUAGCCAACUUACUGCUCUACAAAAGACUUAUCAGCCUCC
Molecule: long non-coding RNA, 1176 nt
Filed under: Brassica rapa (field mustard)
Lineage: Eukaryota; Viridiplantae; Streptophyta; Magnoliopsida; Brassicales; Brassicaceae
Description: long non-coding RNA (BRAP_LNC007122)
Source: RNAcentral